GGCUCAUUGGUCUAGAGGUUGGAUUCUUGCUUUGGGCCUGAGGAUUCCUGUGUUCAAAUCCCAGAUGAGGUCA
Molecule: non-coding RNA, 73 nt
Organism: Pangasianodon gigas (Mekong giant catfish)
Lineage: Eukaryota; Metazoa; Chordata; Actinopteri; Siluriformes; Pangasiidae
Source: the annotation of a GenBank genome assembly